Molecule: long non-coding RNA, 4942 nt
Filed under: Vitis vinifera (wine grape)
Lineage: Eukaryota; Viridiplantae; Streptophyta; Magnoliopsida; Vitales; Vitaceae
Description: long non-coding RNA (VVIN_LNC001151)
Source: RNAcentral
AUGCUAGGAGCUUGUACUAUCUCUCACAGCAAUCAUCUGCAGGCAUGGUUAAGGGCAGUAGUGCAUAUGAUCAAGGGUCAGGGUGUACCAACUGGGUUCCAGCCCUAGUUCCACUAACAACAUGGCAGUAUGCCAUGGAGCACCUGCAUUCACAGUAUGGAAUGAUACAUAAAGCUUGGAAGAAUGGAAGAAGAGAUCAGAUAUGGGGGAAGAGGUAGGUGGAGGGUGGGGGGCAGGAAAGGAUGUAUACAUCACAACUGAUCAUUUCCUAAUUUUGAUUUUUGAUUUUCCUUUCUUCCUUCUAUAUAUCUUCAGCAAAUGAUCUAGGAAGGAAGAUGGGGCUCCAUGCAAAGAUGUCGCUGACUUCUUGGAGCAAAUUCCACAUCCGCACUUUGUCAUGGUCCAACAUGAGAGAGUCGACCAUAACUAUCUUUCCUGUGCCCUCCCCCUCUAAUGCUAAUGGUUCCAAGAGUUCAGCUGCUAACAACUCUGUAUUCCCUGACUCCUUCCCGAGGGUUACUGACUAAUUACUAUUUGUACAAAUGGAUUCCUUCAUCGACCCUUUUGCUGACCUUGAGGGCAAUGUGGCAGCAUAUACAUGUUGUGGUUUGGUUAUCGUAUAUUUCCCAAGUUCCUUGCGACAUGGGGAGCUUGAUGAUAUAAUCAUAGCAGUUGAAAACUUACAAUAUACAAUACAAUGACAUGAUACAUUUUUUUAUGGAAAUCAAUACAUAUUGCGAUUUGUAUCAUAUCAUGUAUCGUAUAUCUUGAAGUGUAUCUUACAAUGCAUAUAUGAUAUACAAUAUGCGAUAUAACAAUACAACAAUACAUACAUUUUUAACUAUUUUCUAGAAUUUUUAAGAAAAAUCAAAUUAAUUUUUUUUAAAAGAAUUUAUAAUACUAAUUGUUUAAAAUGUACUAAAAGAUUAAAAAUUGAAUAUAAAAAAAAAAGAGACAAAGGUAAGAUUAAUCUUACAUGAAAAGUUGCAUUCUUGUUGUCAAAUGCUAAAUUAAAAGUCAAGUAACUAUUGUAAGAAUUUUUAUUUGAAUGGUUUGAAAUCACCAUCAUUUUCAAUGUCAACGUUCAAACCAUAUUGAAUGGUUUGAAUGUUGACAUUGAAAAUGAUGGUGAUUGGCGAAUAAAAUUUUUUUAGUUAAUAUAUUAGCUUUUUUUUAUUUUGUUUUCAAUGGGGAAGGAAUGAUGACAAACAUGAAAAAGUUGGAACUUUGAAGAUGACAAAGAAAGAUGUAUAUAUAUAUAUAUAUAUAUAUGCAUAUCAACAACACAAUAAGUGCAUAUGCCUAGUUAGAAUUUGGAAAUAAAAAUUAUAGUUAAAAAAUUUAAUAAGUUUAUUUCUAUGGAUUAUGUGAUGAAUUUCUAUAUUAAAGUCAUAUUUUGUUAAUUUGAACUAGUCAAAACACCAAUAUUCCCUUUUUUCAUAUGAUAUGAUAAGAUAUAAUUUAAUUCUUUAGAUCUUACUAUCUUCCAUAAAAGUGAUUAUAUAUUACUUUAUACUUCAUACUUCCAAUAUAUAUAUAUAACUUAUAAUACACAAUACAAAAAAAUAGAAAAACAAGACAUAAAAUGUUUUACUAGUUAACAACCAUGAGUAUAAUGGUAGGUUAACAAGGUGAUCUUCAUGUUGUGGAUCCAAGGUCCCCCCAUGGUAAUGCUAUAUAGAAAGGGUGUGUUCAUGACUGAGAAUUGCGUGUGUAAGGUUAUUGGUCCCACUUCCAUAGGAAGGAUUACCUUGCCCAAUGGCUCAUAGGGCACCCAUCAAGGCCGACCAACUAGUACAAAUUGGGUGGUAGCUCUUCCUUCAUGAGAUAUAUCUAAUCAUUUUCUAGUAAGUACAACAAAAAGAUCAAGCUACCAAGAUCAACCAAGAUUAAUUGGACUUCGAAGUUGGUGACUCUUAACAUGAUGAAGACGAGGGUCCUAAUGGGGAACCUUGACACAAUCAAGGUUGCUUCCAAAGAAGCAUAGGGUGUAAUCAAAACAUGUGGUGAUCCUUAGGUUUAAGCCAAAGAUUUUUUAUCUUAUGGUAGUCUAUUGCCUCGAGGUGUGAAUACUUUGUCUCAAGCCUUCUAGCUAGGCAAUGAGCCCACCAAAAACUAUGGCUAUUAUCACUUUAGAAGCUUCAAGUUGUGGGUUUUGAUGGGUUGUAUCGUUAUUUCUUCUUUUGCUAAACUCCUAGAGAUACUCCUUCUUUAUAAGCUUCUCCAUGAGCUUCUUCAGGCUCCUACAAUCGUCCAUCCAUUACCCUCAUUAUUCAUGGCAUUCAUAGUACCAACUCAAGUCCCGAUACUUCACAUCCCAUGGAAACGAAGCAAAUUUCACAUAUUCCUUCAUCUAUUGGGUUUCUUGCAAGAUCUUCCCAUAGAAAACAUUUAGGGUACUAUAUUCCAUCUUGGGCAUGUUCUAGCAUUUGGUUUCCAUUUGGGAUCAUUUCCUUGAUGCACUAGCCCUUUGAUUUAUUAAUCCAUCCUUAUGUUCCUAAUCCUUUCCUAUUCUCCCAACGAGCCUCCACUCCUCUCUAAUGAUAGUCAAGGCAAUGGACUUGAGGGUUGAAAUCCUCAUGUCUUCCUCUAAGUCAGCAUAGCUUCCGACUUUGGAAAAUAGUCCUUCCAGGGUUGCAAGUGUUUUGUUUGUAAGGGAGCGGUAGAGGCUAGACAUGGAUGGAAGCCCAUUCUUGAAAGCUCCUAUUGUAGCCACUACGCUACAUCCUUCUACUUAAGUGGUCUCCAAGUUAAACUGUCAUAUUGGCUUUGUACAAACUCACUACAAAUUUUUAGCAUCUUGAAUAAGAUAUCUAAGCUUUUCUUUUGCCGAGUCGAAUGCAUAUAUUGGGAAGAAAACAUGACCCCUAGUCCCUCAUUGGGGGGAAGUUUGUGUAACCAAAUUAGGGUUGAUCCCUAAAGGCUUGUUGGAAAGAUCUUGCACAAGAGUCAAUCGUUCCCUUAUUCUAGAAUCAUCAUUUGCCUGUAGUGCAUAAGGUGGUCUAACAGGUUGUCAAUUCCAUCAAACAGGUUAAAUUAAGGCAUGGUGAACUAUGAGGUAGCUUCCUCCCUCAAGAUGUCCCUAGUGAAGGUUUUGAGGUGAUGCCCCGCACAACCUAGACUAUAUUUGGUUCAAUAGCACACUCAAGGAGUGCAUAGUGUUCUUCCGUGAGCCAAAUGCUUGUUCGCCCCUUUUAAGUUUCCCUAAGGGGCCCAGAGUGGCAGCUUCCCCAAGAAACUGGAUGCUAGUUGCUCAUUGAUCUCCUCAGACAAGUGUUCAUUGGGUGAGUGGGGCCUUCGCUUGUUACCUUGUACUCUGCUAGCACUAGUCAUCAAGGGUGGAGCCACCUGGUCCUUCUGAUAUUCCUCUUAACAUCGCUCUAAGGGUGGUAUUUUCCUAGGCUAACAACUCAAUCUGAUUGGUGAGCUUUUCCAUCUGUUGUUAGGUGCACUCACUCCUGUUCUUAGCUUCACAGUCACUCAAUCACAGCCAACCAUUCUUGUCAUGAUUCUAGCAUGGGGUAGUCUUCUUGGAUUCAUCCGUUAUCACGAGUCUAAACCAUCUCUAGCUUUUAGUACAUCCCCAGAUUCCCCACAGACGACCUAUUUUCUGUCAGUACCAUUCCUCCAAUUUUACCCAGACUGGCUCUUUAGAUACUUGCAAAAUAGCAUAUCAUGAAGCCCAAAGGCCCCUGAGGGUUGCAGGGGCUCCAAUGCCAAAGUAGGAGACUGUUUAUAGACAAAGCAGUGAAAACACUGAAUUAGCUUGGAAGAGAAUUUCUUCACCUACCUUUCAUCCAUCGUUAAGUGCUCCUUUUAUAGGGGAAUUCUUAUUGCGGAAGCAAUUGGGUUGCCUGACAAUAGGGUCAGGCUUAAGGUUCCACAACAUUCGUAAUUAAUGGCCAUUAAAUGGGAAAUGAGUACCAAUGGCUUUGUGCUUCUAUAAAUGGGCUCUGGUUUAUAGGUUUGAUGGUGUGGGAGUUCAAUUUGUCUCCUAAAGUCUAUCAAACAGGAAAGCCCCUCCACAGCAGGAUAAGAAAUUAUCUCACCUGUGACCGCACCUUGUAGUAGGAUUACACAACAAACACCUCAUUCUUGGAAGCCUUCCACAAUGUCUCGUCCCCCAUAUCGCUCAGAUUGCGUUGAGUUUAUUCAUUUCAAGAAUGAAUCCGACCCUUUCAAUUCUGAUCAAAGAAAACAUUCCUGCAUCGUAUUCAGCGUCCUCCAGGUCCUUCUCCCAUCGCCCAAAGUUCUUAUGAAUUCUAACAUGAAUUUCUUAAUACCCACUUAAAUAUGUUUCAUUUUCCCCCCUUUUAAGCCUAACAAAUGGCCCUCUUUAAGAAUUCCGAUGCUAUAUACAUAUUCCCCUGAAAUUUCCAAGUAUCGGACCCACCCAUAGCAACAGUUUUUCGUAUUUCCUUCAAGCUACGAUUAGGGCAAUGCUUCAAAGUGGUGGUAGUUCAACAGAACCCUAUAAUGUCCGAAAUGGACGUCAGAAAGAAAUGCAGAAAAACAAAAUUCAUAUACGGAUUUUGACAGUAAAAUCCAGGCUUCAGAGUUUCAUUAAUUUUGCAGCGAGCCAAUUUUUGGAACUUAAAUAUGAAAAUAAAGAAAGUAGACUUACAAUCCCCAUUUUUGUUAAUAGCCUCAGACUGAAUCCGACAACGUUCUUGGGAAAAAUCUACCUCGUCUUCCGCCGAACUUCUGGGUAGCAGUUCCCUCCACCAGACAAUGGAAAAGGAUCCGAUUCCAUUUAGGCCAUGAAGGGCAUUUAAACGUCGUCGUUUUAAUGUCUAAUUUACUAUUUUUAUAUUUUCAAUCAUUAUUUGCCACAUGAAUUUAAGUUUAUAAAAAUUCACUUUUCAAAGGAAGAUAAAGCUUUGAGUUGUGCGUGUAAUGUGUAUUAAGAGCUACUACAUCAAGAAUGUAAAAGGGAAAGCGG